GGAUACGGCCAUACUGCGCAGAAAGCACCGCUUCCCAUCCGAACAGCGAAGUUAAGCUGCGCCAGGCGGUGUUAGUACUGGGGUGGGCGACCACCCGGGAAUCCAUCGUGCCGUAUCCUUUU
Molecule: ribosomal RNA, 122 nt
Filed under: Acanthamoeba rhysodes
Lineage: Eukaryota; Discosea; Longamoebia; Acanthamoebidae
Also listed under: 1 other name
Source: RNAcentral